GCAGGCUGCAACCCGCCUGCGUGAAGUUGGAAUCGCUAGUAAUCGCGGAUCAGCAUGCCGCGGUGAAUACGUUCCCGGGCCUUGUACACACCGCCCGUCACACCAUGAGAGUCGGGAACACCCGAAGUCCGUAGCCUAACCGCAAGGGGGGCGCGGCCGAAGGUGGGUUCGAUAAUUGGGGUGAAGUCGUAACAAGGUAGC
Molecule: ribosomal RNA, 201 nt
Filed under: uncultured bacterium
Lineage: Bacteria
Description: partial 16S ribosomal RNA
Rfam family: Bacterial small subunit ribosomal RNA
Source: RNAcentral